UACGUAGGGUGCGAGCGUUAAUCGGAUUUACUGGGCGUAAAGCGUGCGCAGGCGGCCCGUUAAGACAGGUGUGAAAUCCCCGGGCUCAACCUGGGAAUGGCAUUUUGAACUGGCAGGCUCGAGUUCUGAAGAGGGUGGUGGAAUUCCUGGUGUAGCAGUGAAAUGCGUAGAGAUCAGGAGGAACACCGAUGGCGAAGGCAGCCCCCUGGGCCUGUACUGACGCUCAUGCACGAAAGCGUGGGGAGCAAACAGG
This 253-nucleotide ribosomal RNA is filed under the name uncultured microorganism. Its description in RNAcentral is "partial 16S ribosomal RNA". It matches the Rfam family "Bacterial small subunit ribosomal RNA", at positions 524 to 776 of the family's 1533-position model. The record is from RNAcentral.